This 1406-nucleotide ribosomal RNA is filed under the name uncultured bacterium. Its description in RNAcentral is "bacterial SSU rRNA". It matches the Rfam family "Bacterial small subunit ribosomal RNA". The record is from RNAcentral.
CCUAAUACAUGCAAGUCGAGCGCUGGAAGACUAGCUUGCUAGUCUGAAGGAGCGGCGAACGGGUGAGUAAUACAUAAGUAACCUGCCUGCAAAGACCGGGAUAACGCUUGGAAACGAGCACUAAAACCGGAUAGGUAACGGAAGGGCAUCCUUCUGUUAUUAAAGGUUCAAAACACGAGCAGAUGGGCUUAUGGUGCAUUAGUUAGUUGGUGAGGUAACGGCCCACCAAGACGAUGAUGCAUAGCCGGCCUGAGAGGGUGAACGGCCACAUUGGGACUGAGACACGGCCCAGACUCCUACGGGAGGCAGCAGUAGGGAAUUUUCGGCAAUGGGCGAAAGCCUGACCGAGCAACGCCGCGUGAGUGAUGAAGGUUUUCGGAUUGUAAAGCUCUGUUGUAAGGGAAGAACGUCCGUGUGAAAAACAUGGAGUGACGGUACCUUACCAGAAAGCCACGGCUAACUACGUGCCAGCAGCCGCGGUAAUACGUAGGUGGCGAGCGUUAUCCGGAAUUAUUGGGCGUAAAGGGUGCGUACGCGGCCUUUCAAGUCAUGUUGAAAGCGUGGGGCUUAACCCCAUAUAGCCAUGGAUACUGGAAGGCUAGAGUACUGGAGAGGAAAGUGGAAUCCAUGUGUAGCGGUAAAAUGCGUAGAUAUAUGGAGGAACACCAGUGGCGAAGGCGACUUUCUAGCCAGAAACUGACGCUGAUGCACGAAAGCGUGGGGAGCAAAUAGGAUUAGAUACCCUAGUAGUCCACGCUGUAAACGAUGAAUACUAAGUGUUGGGGGAACUCAGUGCUGCAGUUAACGCAAUAAGUAUUCCGCCUGUGGAGUAUGCACGCAAGUGUGAAACAUAAAGGAAUUGACGGGGGCCCGCACAAGCGGUGGAGUAUGUGGUUUAAUUCGACGCAACGCGAAGAACCUUACCAGGCCUUGACAUCCCUUGCAAAACUGUAGAGAUACAGCAGAGGUUAUCAAGGUGACAGGUGGUGCAUGGUUGUCGUCAGCUCGUGUCGUGAGAUGUUGGGUUAAGUCCCGCAACGAGCGCAACCCUUGUCUUCAGUUACCAGCAUUCAGUUGGGGACUCUGGAGAGACUGCCGGUGAUAAACCGGAGGAAGGUGGGGAUGACGUCAAAUCAUCAUGCCCCUUAUGGCCUGGGCUACACACGUACUACAAUGGCUGCUACAACGAGACGCAACAACGCGAGUUGAAGCAAAUCUCUGAAAGGCAGUCUCAGUUCGGAUUGAAGUCUGCAACCCGACUUCAUGAAGCUGGAAUCGCUAGUAAUCGCGGAUCAGCAUGCCGCGGUGAUACGUUCUCGGGCCUUGUACACACCGCCCGCCAUACCAUGAGAGUCGGAUAUGCCCGAAGCCGGUGGCCUAACCGCAAGGAAGGAGCCGUCGAAGGC